Balaenoptera musculus (blue whale) is the source of this 276-nucleotide long non-coding RNA. RefSeq lists it as uncharacterized. NCBI's taxonomy places the organism in Eukaryota, Metazoa, Chordata, Mammalia, Artiodactyla, Balaenopteridae. The transcript is spliced from 3 exons. The record is from RefSeq and is a predicted model, not a curated record.
UAAUUGCAAAGAACCGGCGAAUUUCAGCAUAUCAAGCGCAGGGCAUUUCUGAACUCUUCAGCAUGUUUCCGAACUGGAGCAGCCUUUGUUUAUGGCGAUGCUGUGUCUUUGAACUUACAAGUUGAAGUACACCUUGUGUUUUCAGCCAUGAAUCAUCUUUGUAGUUCUUGAGAAUUCCCACCUUGAACACGGGAUAAGAAAUGGUGCCUUCUAUCUUCGUUGUUUCCACUGUUAGCUGAGUGCUUUGAAAAUCCGACUUGUUCUGUCCGUGCAUAA